GCUCCCUUUUCACUCUCUCUCUUUCUCUCAUUUCUCUCAAAAAGUUUGAGCUUCUUCUUCUUUCUACUGGGAGAGGGAAGCUGUUUCAAUAAGAGUAAUGUCAUGGAUGGGUCAUUCAAGAGUUCAUCAAGAUUGGAAAUAUUUUGUGAAGAAAGGGAAAGCUUAUGCAGCAACAGUAAUAUUCAUCAUCAACGGACAGCACUGUUCAUCAAUGAGUACCACUACUAGUAAUGUUGUUUUAUUGCUUUAGCAUAUAUACUGGCGUUAUCCUAACUGAGCUUUUCUCCGCUAAUCUUCUUCGAUAAGUCUUCAUCAUCUUUCUUUUUCUCUUGUUUUCUAAAACCAUCGAUCUUCCUUGUAUUGGAUCAUAUUCCUUCUUAUCUUCCCUUUCUAUCGUUGUCUUGACCUUGUAAGACCUUUUCUUGACCUUGUAAGACCCAGCUUCAAUCUCUUCUUCUCCGCUCUUUAAUCCUUCGUAAACCCAUUUUCUUCGCUUCUCUUUUUGUGUUUCCCACUCAACUCAUAUUCUCUUCUCCUGUCUAUCCCUCUUGAGCUUUUUCACAAAUCAAAAAUCACCAUGAAAAUGGGCAUUCCUCAAAAUCAUACCCGUUUGGGAGUACCCAUCUGAAAUUCGAUCAAGUAAAGCUAGAUUUUCUUACUACAACUCCGGCUUUAUCUCAGCUUAUUUAUUUCUUUCUUCUUUUAGCUAGGGUUUUUUGUUUUAUUGUGUCUGACACUGAAGAAGAACAAUGAUGAAACCAUAGUGGUAAAAGUCAUUCCCCCAAGUGACGAGUUCAUGGAGGUCGUGACUUCAGAGAGUUUAAGACCUACAUCUUAGUCAGUCCAUUAUUAGUUUAGUUUUCCACUAGUGGGGUAUUUUCCAGCAAGUCAAGUAUACGUUUGUCUCAAGCGUACCAACUGAUAGUGUAACAAGAAUCAGUGGAAUUAAUACAACGAGAAAAAACUCACUUUCAUGUGUUCUUUUGUUUUUGUUCUGAGGGUUUUAAUGUGUAUUUGAAGCCAUGGAUAUCAUGACAUAAGUUUUUAAUCUUACAUGAUGCGUUCUUGGCUGAUUAAAAUGACUGAUAAUUUUUCUUUUAAAAUGUAUGAUAAUGGUGUUAUAUACUGUACUUAGUAUUUUUUAAAGUGCAAAAUUAAUCUUAAUAGUUGA
Molecule: long non-coding RNA, 1171 nt
Organism: Papaver somniferum (opium poppy)
Lineage: Eukaryota; Viridiplantae; Streptophyta; Magnoliopsida; Ranunculales; Papaveraceae
Exons: 2
Source: RefSeq, a predicted model, not a curated record